GACGAAGGAUGCAAGCGUUAUCCGGAUUCAUUGGGUUUAAAGGGAUCGUAGGUGGUCUUAUAAGUCAGUGGUGAAAUCUCUGGGCUUAACCCAGAAAUUGCCAUUGAUACUGUAGGACUUGAGUAUAGUUGCCGUUGGCGGAAUAUGACAUGUAGUGGUGAAAUACAUAGAGAUGUCAUAGAACACCGAUUGCGAAGGCAGCUAACGAAACUAUAACUGACACUGAGGCUCGAAAGUGCGGGGAUCAAACAGG
RNAcentral lists this ribosomal RNA (253 nucleotides) under uncultured bacterium. RNAcentral's name for it is "partial 16S ribosomal RNA". It matches the Rfam family "Bacterial small subunit ribosomal RNA", at positions 524 to 776 of the family's 1533-position model. The record is from RNAcentral.